RNAcentral lists this ribosomal RNA (253 nucleotides) under uncultured bacterium. RNAcentral's name for it is "partial 16S ribosomal RNA". It matches the Rfam family "Bacterial small subunit ribosomal RNA", at positions 524 to 776 of the family's 1533-position model. The record is from RNAcentral.
GACAGAGGGUGCAAACGUUGUUCGGAAUUACUGGGCGUAAAGCGCGUGUAGGCGGUUUGAUAAGUCGGAUGUGAAAGCCCUGGGCUCAACCCAGGAAGUGCACUCGAUACUGUCAAGCUAGAGUAUCGGAGAGGUUGGUGGAAUUCUCGGUGUAGAGGUGAAAUUCGUAGAUAUCGAGAGGAACACCGGUGGCGAAGGCGGCCAACUGGACGAAUACUGACGCUGAGACUCGAAAGCGUGGGGAGCAAACAGG